Molecule: ribosomal RNA, 492 nt
Filed under: uncultured bacterium
Lineage: Bacteria
Description: partial 16S ribosomal RNA
Rfam family: Bacterial small subunit ribosomal RNA
Source: RNAcentral
AGUGAACGCUGGCGGUAGGCCUAACACAUGCAAGUCGAACGGCAGCACAGUAAGAGCUUGCUCUUACGGGUGGCGAGUGGCGGACGGGUGAGGAAUACAUCGGAAUCUACUUUUUCGUGGGGGAUAACGUAGGGAAACUUACGCUAAUACCGCAUACGACCUACGGGGGAAAGCAGGGGAUCUUCUGACCUUGCGCGAUUGAAUGAGCCGAUGUCGGUUUAGCUAGUUGGCGGGGUAAAGGCCCACCAAGGCGACGAUCCGUAGCUGGUCUGAGAGGAUGAUCAGCCACACUGGAACUGAGACACGCUCCAGACUCCUACGGGAGGCAGCAGUGGGGAAUAUUGGACAAUGGGCGCAAGCCUGAUCCAGCCAUACCGCGUGGGUGAAGAAGGCCUUCGGGUUGUAAAGCCCUUUUGUUGGGAAAGAAAAGCAGCAGGUUAAUACCCCGCUGUUCUGACGGUACCCAAAGAAUAAGCACCGGCUAACUUCGUG